CUCAAAGGUUAAUGAAUGACGGAGAUAGUCCACCCUUUCCUCGUAAAAAAAGAAACUGACUUUUAAUAAUGCCCAAGUAAAACUUGUAAUUCUCUAACAAACUAAAAAUCACUGGAUAAUGAAAUCACUAUUCAUUAGUUUUGGCUUACUUAAAAGCCUAAUAAACAGUGCCUAGGGCACUGUAAAAAUGAAAAACAAUUUCAAUGUCCUUUCAUGAGUUCUAAUCUAAUUAGUGUAUGACUGCAUAAAGAAAAUAUCUCGGGGGCUGGGGAUAUAGCUCAGUGGUGCUGUCGCCUGCCUUCCAAGCACAAGGUCCUUAGUUGGAUCCCUGGUACAAAAAAAAAAAAGAAAAAAGAAAAGAAAAUCUCUCAGGGCAAGGGAUUUAGCUCAGAGGCACUGCACCUACCUCACAAGCACAAGGUCUUGAGUUAGAUCCCUGGUACCAAAAAAAAAAAAAAUCUAUUGGUGGACAAAAAUUAAACUUACAUAUAUACUGCAAAUGUGAUUUUCUCGUUUUGUUUUCCAAAAGCUUCUAGUUAUUUAACCAAGUGAAGGGAUGUACUAACAUUACUUGCAUAAGAAAAAUUAAAACUCUCACAUAAUCCAUGUAUUAUACCUUUAAUGCUGAUAAAAUUUAAAAGCUAGUAAUUACAACCUUUAUUGAGCUAAUACAGAUACAUAAAAAAUGCUUUAAGGGAAGAUUUUUGGGUAGCUAGACCAUUUAAAUCAUACUUUCAGACUAGCCAUUUAUCCUCCCCAUGUGCUGUUAAGGUACUUCUUACAACCAUAUUGUUCAAAUAUGGUUACUUAUUCUUUACUGCAUUCCUUCACAAAAUAAAGGCUGAGAGUAAAGCCUUGAGACUAAAUUAAGAGACAGGCUCCCUCUUUUCUAACAACCCUCUGGGAUCUUGUAUCACUUCAUAAAAUAGAUGUUAUACUGGGUUGAUUUUUAAAAAGGACCAAUAAUCAUGUUUCAUGGCUGCACCAAAUAAAAACUUUUCACUUUAAUCUCUAUUAUCUUAAUUAUUAGUACAUUAGGGUUGAGGUCUCCAAAUUUAAACAAAUUUUUCUCCCUUAAAACCACAGCCUCUAUGUAAAUCAAGUAUAGCUUAAUGCCAUUUUACAAUUAUGCACUAAUUCCUAAAAUAUUCCACAAAAAGUACAAUGAGUUUUUAAAUUUUGAUCAGCUGCCUAGUGUCAGUUUUAACCAGAGCUGAAAAACAGAAGAUUUAAGUAAACUGAAAGUCAUUACUGGGUUUUAAACGAAGAUAUUUAAGUAAUCUUCUUGAUAUUUUCUUUUGACAGCCACUUAUUUCUACCCUGAAAAAAGCUUGAAAUAAAAAAAUUAGUAUUUAAAAUACUAUACAAAAUUCUAAAAAAAGAAAACCAGACAAGUAUACUUCAGUUUAAUCACUGUCCACAUAGAUUUGUGAAAAAUGUUAAGAGAUACACUUUAAGUCGCAAAGGAGAUUUAAGAAUUCUUGUUAACUAUUACAGUAUGGAAAUGUGACUA
Molecule: long non-coding RNA, 1513 nt
Filed under: Heterocephalus glaber (naked mole-rat)
Lineage: Eukaryota; Metazoa; Chordata; Mammalia; Rodentia; Bathyergidae
Description: lncRNA (ENSHGLG00100035491.1)
Source: RNAcentral